AUGGAAUUAAGGGAAAAGCUGAGGAUCAAAGCCAGAACUUUAGUUUCUCCUUCCCCCGAACGUAGGGGCGGGACAGAACGUCCUCUGCCAUUUUAUUGGUGCGAGGGAGGAGAACGUGUGAUCGGCGAAAAUGAUUGGCUAAGCUAGCGGAGGGGGGAGUGUUUAAAGUCUGGGAAUUUCGCGCUAAAACUAAUUUCUCUUUGUGCUCGUAUCGUCGCUACUCCAGCUCCUCUCUAGAUUGUGUCUAAAUCGGACUAUAUACAUUUCUCAGCAGAAUCUUCUUAAAACAUCAUGAAAACCACAGAUAAUUUAUGCAAGAAGAAGUUUAUGCAGGACGUCCUUGAAGAUCUGGACACUUCUGAUCUGCAAAGUCUCCAAUCAAUAUUAAAUACAAAAGAAAUAAAUGGGACAACUAUUCCAAAAUCCAAAUUAGAGAAAAUAGAUCCUAUUAGCAUAGCUAAUGUGCUUAUUAGCUAUCAUGGGUCUGACUGUUUGGAGACACUUCGGGAUGCAUUGGCUGACAUUCCCAAGAAACAACUCGUCGAGAAAAUUUCUAAUAAAAUAGAAGAUGAUGAGCAUAAAGAAAAGCAGAAAACUGAAAGUCGAAAGGAAGAAAUUGAUGGUAUCCCAGCAAAGAAGCAAAAACUUCAGGACCUGCCAUCAUACA
Non-coding RNA from Pogona vitticeps (central bearded dragon), 667 nucleotides. Lineage: Eukaryota; Metazoa; Chordata; Lepidosauria; Squamata; Agamidae. The record is from RefSeq and is a predicted model, not a curated record.